UGGCGUUUCGGUUCUCAAUUUUGCUAUAAACAAGAAUCAUUUGGUACAUGAAUGACUACAAUUUGAUUCAACAUAUCUCGUACGAGGGGCUGGAAUGAUUAACAAUCGAAGAUUCAUUUGAAAAAACUGAUAAAAUACCUUCCGAGUUUUCUUCAUUUUUUUGGCGAAAACAGGGUUUUAUUAUAUUUUAUUUCCGCAAAUUGUACGCAUAUUUUGCUUUAAAAAUAAUAUUAUAGCAAACUGUAACUUUAUGUUAACCUAUAAAAAAAAAUCACGUGUGGCACUCGGGGACUGCCGCGGUAAAGCUAUUGCAUAGCAUUUUGUAUCAACUUAUGCAAUUAUAAUUAUUUAUUUAUUUUAUUUAUGCAGUAUUUCUUUUUCUUUGAUAUUAAUACCACCAUAACCAACCACCAGUAAACCAGUAUAACGAUAUGAUCUCAGUUGAUAGGGAUCUCGAGGUUUCACUUCUGAUGGUUUUUCGGAAAAGACAAGUACGCUUGACAAGAGAUAAUGUAAACACUGGUAAUUCGUAGUUACUCCUGGUAUUUAUAUAUUCCAAUCGUUCACCGAGCGCACGACUCAAGAUAACCAAUAUAAAAGUGUGAACCUUGUUUAUUCAUAGUUACGAUACGUAUACGGAUUCACUUAUAUUGGACAAGUUGUAAGUCAUGGGAAUAAGCGCCUUCAACGGCGCGGCGGUCUUUAUUAGGUAGCGUCAGGAAACAAAUAUUUAUAAAAAAUAUACGAAAUUAAAAUAAAUAGGCACUUUAUUUAUUUUAUGGAAAACAAUUUUUUUUCGCUAACACAUUAAAUAAAAUAUGUAAAACUGUAUGUAUUUUAUAUGUAAAACCGAUAGUUUAUCUAUACAAUUAAAAAAAAUAUGCGGAGAGGGCGGUAUAAAAAGGAAAAUUAUAAUGUAUGGAGAAAAAAAUUUUUCAUCAAAAACGAAACCGAGCAUCAUUUUUAAUUUUCACAAUUCAAUCGCUAGGCAUUUCCACAGCUGCAGCUCGUUUUAAAAUAGAAAUAAGUGAAAGUUUUUUCUCUAAACAUUAUAGUUUUCAUUUUUUUAACGUUAAUACUGAUUUUGAAGUUAUAUUUUUUUAAAUCAUUCCCUAUCGAAGGCGAAAUUAGCAAUGUCCCAC
Long non-coding RNA from Cydia pomonella (codling moth), 1142 nucleotides. RefSeq lists it as uncharacterized. The record is from RefSeq and is a predicted model, not a curated record. The transcript is spliced from 2 exons. Lineage: Eukaryota; Metazoa; Arthropoda; Insecta; Lepidoptera; Tortricidae.